RNAcentral lists this small nuclear RNA (133 nucleotides) under Salvator merianae (Argentine black and white tegu). Its description in RNAcentral is "U4 spliceosomal RNA (ENSSMRG00000019146.1)". It matches the Rfam family "U4 spliceosomal RNA". Rfam says of the family: U4 small nuclear RNA (U4 snRNA) is a component of the major U2-dependent spliceosome. The structure of U4 snRNA from yeast and human has been reported. U4 snRNA presents a k-turn RNA motif in the 5p-SL related to recognition of Snu13 protein. Lineage: Eukaryota; Metazoa; Chordata; Lepidosauria; Squamata; Teiidae. The record is from Rfam by way of RNAcentral.
AACUGUGCAGUGUGGCAGUAUUGUAGCCAGUGAAGUUUAUCUGAGGUGCAAUUGUUGCUAAUUGAAAAUGUUUCCCAAUAUCCCACCAUGACAAUUUGAAUUAUAACUGGCAAAAGUUCUGGAGUCACAACUC